This 332-nucleotide ribosomal RNA is filed under the name uncultured bacterium. RNAcentral describes it as "bacterial SSU rRNA". It matches the Rfam family "Bacterial small subunit ribosomal RNA", at positions 568 to 898 of the family's 1533-position model. The record is from RNAcentral.
CAUGUAGGCGGAUGAGUAAGCGUUUUGUGAAAUCCCCCGGCUUAACCGGGGAAUUGCUUGGCGAACUGCUCAUCUUGAGGCAAGUAGGGGUGCAUGGAACUCUUGGUGGAGCGGUGGAAUGCGUAGAUAUCAAGAGGAACGCCAAUGGUGAAAACAGUGCACUGGGCUUGUUCUGACGCUGAGAUGCGAAAGCGUGGGGAGCGAACGGGAUUAGAUACCCCGGUAGUCCACGCCGUAAACGAUGCCUACUAGGUCGUAGAACCUCUGACGGUUUUAUGGCCGAAGCAAAAGUGUUAAGUAGGCCGCCUGGGGAGUACGGUCGCAAGGCUAAA